AGCCCUGAGGUGGAGAAUCCAUGUCGAAUUGCAAAUUCGAAGAAGCAGCUUCAAUCCUGCCGGGGCUU
Molecule: non-coding RNA, 68 nt
Organism: Tupaia belangeri (northern tree shrew)
Lineage: Eukaryota; Metazoa; Chordata; Mammalia; Scandentia; Tupaiidae
Source: Ensembl